Molecule: microRNA, 22 nt
Filed under: Mus musculus (house mouse)
Lineage: Eukaryota; Metazoa; Chordata; Mammalia; Rodentia; Muridae
Description: mmu-miR-6932-5p
Source: miRBase by way of RNAcentral
UUGUAGGUGAAGUAGACUUGGC